RNAcentral lists this ribosomal RNA (700 nucleotides) under uncultured bacterium. RNAcentral's name for it is "bacterial SSU rRNA". It matches the Rfam family "Bacterial small subunit ribosomal RNA", at positions 60 to 756 of the family's 1533-position model. The record is from RNAcentral.
AGCCGAACGGCAAGUUGAGUAGCAAUACUUGACCUAGAGUGGCGUAAGGGUGCGUAACACGUAUGCAAUCUACCCUCAACAGGAGGAUAGCUCCCCGAAAGGGGAAUUAAUACUCCAUAAGAUCACGGGAAGGCAUCUUCGAGUGAUUAAACUACAAGGGGUUGAGGAUGAGCAUGCGUUUGAUUAGUUAGUUGGUGAGGUAACGGCUCACCAAGACGAUGAUCAAUAGGGGAACUGAGAGGUUGAUCCCCCACACUGGCACUGAGAUACGGGCCAGACUCCUAUGGGAGGCAGCAGUAGGGAAUAUUGGUCAAUGGGUGAGAGCCUGAACCAGCCAUGCCGCGUGCAGGAAGAAGGCCUUCUGGGUUGUAAACUGCUUUUGCCGGGGGAUAAAAUAGCUUUGCGAAGCAAAUUGAAGGUACCCGGUGAAUAAGCCACGGCUAACUACGUGCCAGCAGCCGCGGUAAUACGUAGGUGGCAAGCGUUGUCCGGAUUUAUUGGGUUUAAAGGGUGCGUAGGCGGUUCUAUAAGUCAGUGGUGAAAUACUCCGGCUCAACCGGAGAGGUGCCAUUGAUACUGCAGAACUUGAGUACAGACGAGGUAGGCGGAAUUGACGGUGUAGCGGUGAAAUGCUUAGAUAUCGUCAAGAACACCGAUAGCGAAGGCAGCUUACUAGACUGUAACUGACGCUGAGGCACGA